GACGAACGCUGGCGGCGUGCCUAAUACAUGCAAGUAGAACGCUGAAACUUGGUGCUUGCACCGAGCGGAUGAGUUGCGAACGGGUGAGUAACGCGUAGGUAACCUGCCUGGUAGCGGGGGAUAACUAUUGGAAACGAUAGCUAAUACCGCAUAAGAGUAGAUGUUGCAUGACAUUUGCUUAAAAGGUGCAAUUGCACCACUACCAUAUGGACCUGCGAUGUAUUAGCUAGUUGGUGGGGUAACGGCUCACCAAGGCGACGAUACAUAGCCGACCUGAGAGGGUGAUAGGCCACGCGGGGAAGGAGACACGACCCAGACUCCUGAGGGAGGCAGCAGUAGGGAAUCGUCGGCAAUGGACGGAAGUCUGACCGAGCAACGCCGCGUGGGUGAAGAAGGUUUUCGGAACGUAAAGCUCUGUUGUAAGAGAAGAACGAGUGUGAGAGUGGAGAGUUCACAGUGUGACGGUAUCUUACCAGAAAGGAACGGCUAAAUACGUG
This 497-nucleotide ribosomal RNA is filed under the name uncultured bacterium. RNAcentral's name for it is "partial 16S ribosomal RNA". It matches the Rfam family "Bacterial small subunit ribosomal RNA", at positions 28 to 507 of the family's 1533-position model. The record is from RNAcentral.